Molecule: ribosomal RNA, 497 nt
Filed under: uncultured bacterium
Lineage: Bacteria
Description: partial 16S ribosomal RNA
Rfam family: Bacterial small subunit ribosomal RNA
Source: RNAcentral
GAUGAACGCUGGCGGCGUGCCUAAUACAUGCAAGUCGAGCGAACAGACGAGGAGCUUGCUCCUCUGACGUUAGCCGCGGGCGGGUGAGUAACACGUGUAUCACCCACCUAUAAGACUGGGAUAACUUCGGGACACCGGCGCUAAUCCCGGAUAAUAUAUUGCACCGCAUGGUUCAAUAGUGAAAGUCGGCUGUGCUGUCACUUCUCGCUGGAUCCGCGCCGCAUUAGCUAGUUGGUAAGGUAACGGCUUACCACGGCGACGAUGCGUAGCCGACCUGAGUGGGUGAUCGGCCACACUGGAAGGGGGACGCGCUCCAGACUCCUGCGAGAGGGAGCAGUAGGGAACCUGCCGCAAUAGGGGAAAGCAUGACGGAGCAGCGGGGCGUGAGUGACGAAGACCUUCGGAGCGUGAUACUCGGUUACGAGGGAAGAACAAAUGUGUAAGUAACUAUGGCGGUCUUGACGGUACCGGAUCAGAAAGCCACGGCUAACUACGUG